RNAcentral lists this non-coding RNA (182 nucleotides) under Desulforamulus reducens. RNAcentral also lists the same sequence under 1 other name. The record is from RNAcentral. Lineage: Bacteria; Bacillati; Bacillota; Clostridia; Eubacteriales; Peptococcaceae.
UAAAUACCUACAAUGUUUGGUACCCCUGCGGGGGUUUAAAAGGGAAUCGGGUGUAAAUCCCGAGCGGUCCGGCCACUGUAACAGGCUAGUUUGUUUCAAGUUUACGCCACUGGUUAUUCCGGGAAGGUAGCACCAAAUGCUAAUGCCUGAGUCAGGAGACCUGCCAAACAAAAAACUGACCC